AGUGAACGCUGGCGGUAGGCCUAACACAUGCAAGUCGAACGGCAGCACAGUAAGAGCUUGCUCUUACGGGUGGCGAGUGGCGGACGGGUGAGGAAUACAUCGGAAUCUACUUUUUCGUGGGGGAUAACGUAGGGAAACUUACGCUAAUACCGCAUACGACCUACGGGUGAAAGUAGGGGAUCUUCGGACCUUGCGCGAUUGAAUGAGCCGAUGUCGGAUUAGCUAGUUGGCGGGGUAAAGGCCCACCAAGGCGACGAUCCGUAGCUGGUCUGAGAGGAUGAUCAGCCACACUGGAACUGAGACACGGUCCAGACUCCUACGGGAGGCAGCAGUGGGGAAUAUUAGACAAUGGGCGCAAGCCUGAUCCAGCCAUACCGCGUGGGUGAAGAAGGCCUUCGUGUUGUAAAGCCCUUUUGUUGGGGAAGAAAAGCAGCAGGUUAAUACCCCGCUGUUCUGACGGUACCCAAAGAAUAAGCACCGGCUAACUUCGUG
RNAcentral lists this ribosomal RNA (492 nucleotides) under uncultured bacterium. Its description in RNAcentral is "partial 16S ribosomal RNA". It matches the Rfam family "Bacterial small subunit ribosomal RNA", at positions 29 to 507 of the family's 1533-position model. The record is from RNAcentral.